Long non-coding RNA from Cydia pomonella (codling moth), 486 nucleotides. RefSeq lists it as uncharacterized. The record is from RefSeq and is a predicted model, not a curated record. Lineage: Eukaryota; Metazoa; Arthropoda; Insecta; Lepidoptera; Tortricidae. The transcript is spliced from 2 exons.
UCGAUGUCAUUUACAAAAAGCAAUUUUAUUCAAAUUAAAUAUCUAGAAUCUAUUUACAAUAACUGUAAAUUAUAUUUAAAAAACAUAUAAGUAGAGCUAAGUUUCCCGUUAUAUAAAUCUAGGUAGUGUUGCGGCUUCGAAUCCAUACACAAGAUAUAUAUGAAUGCGACGUUUGUACUUGAAAAAAAUGUUAUAGUCCAGAUAUAUGAUUGUGGUGCAGGCAGGCACUGCAUGUUACUCCAGAAGUUAUAUGUAAGCGACUACAGACAACAGCGGCGGGCUGCUCUAAGCAGGAGAUCGAUGUGCUUCACCACCAAUAGUGUAUCCAGAGGGUUGCGUUUUAAGAGAUACACGUAAAAUACAAGCAUUUUCAUGCGUGACUACUGCAAAGAACGUCCUUCGUAGAAGUUCGCACUGCUGAAUGAAGAUAAAAUAUCGUUUAAUAAACUAUAAACUGUACAUAAGAAAAUAAAAUACAGAACAGAG